AUUGAACGCUGGCGGCAGGCUUAACACAUGCAAGUCGAACGGUAACGGGAAGGAAGCUUGCUUUCUUUGCUGACGAGUGGCGGACGGGUGAGUAAUGCUUGGGAAUCUGUUUUAUGGAGGGGGAUAACUACGGGAAACUGUAGCUAAUACCGCGUAAUAUCGAGAGAUUAAAGUGUGGGACCGCAAGGCCACAUGCCAUGAAGUGAGCCCAAGUGGGAUUAGGUAGUUGGUGGGGUAAAGGCCUACCAAGCCGUCGAUCUCUAGCUGGUCUGAGAGGAUGACCAGCCACACUGGGACUGAGACACGGCCCAGACUCCUACGGGAGGCAGCAGUGGGGAAUAUUGCACAAUGGGCGCAAGCCUGAUGCAGCCAUGCCGCGUGAAUGAAGAAGGCCUUCGGGUUGUAAAGUUCUUUCGGUGGUGAGGAAGGUUGGCGUGUUAAUAGCACGUUGAUUUGACGUUAGCCACAGAAGAAGCACCGGCUAACUCCGUGCCAGCAGCCGCGGUAAUACGGAGGGUGCGAGCGUUAAUCGGAAUAACUGGGCGUAAAGGGCACGCAGGCGGAUACUUAAGUGAGGUGUGAAAGCCCUGGGCUUAACCCAGGAAUUGCAUUUCAUACUGGGUAUCUAGAGUAUUUUAGGGAGGGGUAGAAUUCCACGUGUAGCGGUGAAAUGCGUAGAGAUGUGGAGGAAUACCGAAGGCGAAGGCAGCCCCUUGGGGGAAUACUGACGCUCAUGUGCGAAAGCGUGGGGAGCAAACAGG
Molecule: ribosomal RNA, 761 nt
Filed under: uncultured bacterium
Lineage: Bacteria
Description: bacterial SSU rRNA
Rfam family: Bacterial small subunit ribosomal RNA
Source: RNAcentral